GCGGCGAGCGAAGCGGGAUGAGCCCAGAUUUGAAAGCUCUCUGCCGUGCGGCAGAGCGCAUUGUACGCUGGAGACGCGCCUCCUGUGGCGGGGCUGUGCCCAAGUCUGCUGGAAAGCAGCAUCAGAGAGGGUGAGAAUCCCGUGCUUGGUGCGGCGGCCUGCUGCGUUGUGUGGGGCGCGCUCGACGAGUCGCGUUGUUUGGGAAUGCAGCGCAAAAAGGGUGGUAAACGCCAUCUAAGGCUAAAUACCGGGGAGAGACCGAUAGCGAACAAGUACCGUGAGGGAAAGAUGAAAAGCACUUUGGAAAGAGAGUUAAAGAGUACGUGAAAUUGCCAAAAGGGAAGCGCUGGCGGUCUGUGCCGCAGCAGGGUUGCCUUGUUCAACUCUGUGGGGUGUGUGCCCGUUGGUUGGCUGGGAGAGAAGGCAGUGCGGAAGGUGGCCUGGCCUGUAUGGGCGAGGUGUUAGAGCCGCAGCUGUGGAUCGCCCGCCACCGACGGCGUGCAGACUUGAUGGCCGUCAGCGGCCCGU
Molecule: ribosomal RNA, 528 nt
Filed under: Moniliella sp.
Lineage: Eukaryota; Fungi; Basidiomycota; Moniliellomycetes; Moniliellales; Moniliellaceae
Description: LSU rRNA
Rfam family: Eukaryotic large subunit ribosomal RNA
Source: RNAcentral